AGCAGCAAUUCAUGUUUUGAAGUGCUUUAAAUGGUUCAAAACGUGAGGCGCUGCUAU
Cervus hanglu yarkandensis (Yarkand deer) is the source of this 57-nucleotide microRNA precursor. Ensembl annotates it as microRNA 424. Its record names the gene MIR424. NCBI's taxonomy places the organism in Eukaryota, Metazoa, Chordata, Mammalia, Artiodactyla, Cervidae. The record is from Ensembl.